GUGCCAGCCGCCGCGGUAAUACGUAGGUGGCAAGCGUUGUCCGGAAUUAUUGGGCGUAAAGGGCUCGCAGGCGGUUUCUUAAGUCUGAUGUGAAAGCCCCCGGCUCAACCGGGGAGGGUCAUUGGAAACUGGGAAACUUGAGUGCAGAAGAGGAGAGUGGAAUUCCACGUGUAGCGGUGAAAUGCGUAGAGAUGUGGAGGAACACCAGUGGCGAAGGCGAC
RNAcentral lists this ribosomal RNA (221 nucleotides) under uncultured bacterium. RNAcentral's name for it is "partial 16S ribosomal RNA". It matches the Rfam family "Bacterial small subunit ribosomal RNA", at positions 505 to 725 of the family's 1533-position model. The record is from RNAcentral.